AAGAAAGGAAAGAACGAAGAAGAAAAAGAGAGAGAAGAGCUUGCAUCAGCCAUCAAUGGCGGAUGGUGGAGGAGGCUGUCUGAGGCGUUGUGGCAACAGCUGGUAGAAGAGGAGACGCCAACGAACGCGGUAGCAGCACCGGCGGCGGUGAUCAGUAGUGGUGAAUGGCAGAAUUCGGUAGGAAAAAGGUAGAAUUUCAUGACGUCGUUCAUUGAGUUUCUGGCGAUCAUUUGUGGCAUUCUUAGGCUCAUAAUAAUCAGCAACUUCUAGGCUUCCUU
RNAcentral lists this long non-coding RNA (278 nucleotides) under Ricinus communis (castor bean). Its description in RNAcentral is "long non-coding RNA (RCOM_LNC001413)". Lineage: Eukaryota; Viridiplantae; Streptophyta; Magnoliopsida; Malpighiales; Euphorbiaceae. The record is from RNAcentral.